Molecule: long non-coding RNA, 565 nt
Organism: Uranotaenia lowii
Lineage: Eukaryota; Metazoa; Arthropoda; Insecta; Diptera; Culicidae
Exons: 3
Source: RefSeq, a predicted model, not a curated record
GUUACCAAAUCUAUACCGUUGGACUGAUGAAAUAUUCAAUCAAAUUCAAUCCAAACGUAAAUUCAUAUGAAAACAUAAUGAGCCCAAAUCAUUCAAUGGUCCUAAGUAAAAUUCAUUGGUUAUAAUUAUCGACCGGACCCGGGUACAAGCCACGAAAAAAUCUAGCCGAAUUGCUCACCACAAAUGUACGUGAAGUUAAUGAGUAGGGGCAGCUAUAAGAAACAUUCCAAAAUCAAAAUGCCGUGUAAAUUUAAUAACCUACCUCUGCCAUCGUCGAAGGUGUAAAGCCUCGCCAACAGCCUACAAACGUAAUAAAUGGAAAUGCAUCGAAGAAAGUCGCUCAGCUGAUUUUCAAUUCAGCAGCAGCGGGAGUUAAUUAUGCGAUAAACAGACGACGGUGAACUUGAAACGCAAUAGAUGAUUAAUUUUCCUACUUCUAAAGUAAGUCUCACGAUUGCGGACCCACAGUGCCAUUAGAGGUCAUUAAUACCCGCAGCCAGCUGGACUGCGAAGUUCAAUCACGUUAUACGCUCAUACGUCGGGAUCGAGUACUUCAAAUUUUGAU